GACGAACGCUGGCGGCGUGCUUAACACAUGCAAGUCGAACGGAAAGGCCCUGCUUUUGUGGGGUGCUCGAGUGGCAAACGGGUGAGUAACACGUGAGUAACCUGCCCUUGACUUUGGGAUAACUUCAGGAAACUGGGGCUAAUACCGGAUAGGAGCUCCUGCUGCAUGGUGGGGGUUGGAAAGUUUCGGCGGUUGGGGAUGGACUCGCGGCUUAUCAGCUUGUUGGUGGGGUAGUGGCUUACCAAGGCUUUGACGGGUAGCCGGCCUGAGAGGGUGACCGGCCACAUUGGGACUGAGAUACGGCCCAUACUCCUACGGGAGGCAGCAGUGGGGAAUAUUGCACAAUGGGCGGAAGCCUGAUGCAACAACGCCGCGUGCGGGAUGACGGCCUUCGGGUUGUAAACCGCUUUCGCCUGUGACGAAGCGUGAGUGACGGUAAUGGGUAAAGAAGCACCGGCUAACUACGUGCCAGCAGCAGCGGUGAUACGUAGGGUGCGAGCGUUGUCCGGAUUUAUUGGGCGUAAAGGGCUCGUAGGUGGUUGAUCGCGUCGGAAGUGUAAUCUUGGGGCUUAACCCUGAGCGUGCUUUCGAUACGGGUUGACUUGAGGAGGAUAGGGGAGAAUGGAAUUCCUGGUGGAGCGGUGGAAUGCGCAGAUAUCAGGAGGAACACCAGUGGCGAAGGCGGUUCUCUGGGCCUUUCCUGACGCUGAGGAGCGAAAGCGUGGGGAGCGAACAGGCUUAGAUACCCUGGUAGUCCACGCUGUAAACGGUGGGUACUAGGUGUGGGGUCCAUUCCACGGGUUCCGUGCCGUAGCUAACGCUUUAAGUACCCCGCCUGGGGAGUACGGCCGCAAGGCUAAAACUCAAAGGAAUUGACGGGGCCCCGCACAAGCGGCGGAGCAUGCGGAUUAAUUCGAUGCAACGCGUAGAACCUUACCUGGGUUUGACAUGGAUCGGGAGUGCUCAGAGAUGGGUGUGCCUCUUUUGGGGUCGGUUCACAGGUGGUGCAUGGCUGUCGUCAGCUCGUGUCGUGAGAUGUUGGGUUAAGUCCCGCAACGAGCGCAACCCUUGUUCACUGUUGCCAGCACGUUAUGGUGGGGACUCAGUGGAGACCGCCGGGGUCAACUCGGAGGAAGGUGGGGAUGACGUCAAGUCAUCACGCCCCUUAUGUCCAGGGCUUCACGCAUGCUACAAUGGCUGGUACAGAGAGUGGCGAGCCUGUGAGGGUGAGCGAAUCUCGGAAAGCCGGUCUCAGUUCGGAUUGGGGUCUGCAACUCGACCUCAUGAAGUCGGAGUCGCUAGUAAUCGCAGAUCAGCAACGCUGCGGUGAAUACGUUCCCGGG
RNAcentral lists this ribosomal RNA (1343 nucleotides) under uncultured bacterium. RNAcentral describes it as "16S ribosomal RNA". It matches the Rfam family "Bacterial small subunit ribosomal RNA", at positions 28 to 1378 of the family's 1533-position model. The record is from RNAcentral.